CUAUACAUGCAAGUCGAGCGGACAGAAGGGAGCUUGCUCCCGGAUGUUAGCGGCGGACGGGUGAGUAACACGUGGGUAACCUGCCUGUAAGACUGGGAUAACUCCGGGAAACCGGAGCUAAUACCGGAUAGUUCCUUGAACCGCAUGGUUCAAGGAUGAAAGACGGUUUCGGCUGUCACUUACAGAUGGACCCGCGGCGCAUUAGCUAGUUGGUGAGGUAACGGCUCACCAAGGCGACGAUGCGUAGCCGACCUGAGAGGGUGAUCGGCCACACUGGGACUGAGACACGGCCCAGACUCCUACGGGAGGCAGCAGUAGGGAAUCUUCCGCAAUGGACGAAAGUCUGACGGAGCAACGCCGCGUGAGUGAUGAAGGUUUUCGGAUCGUAAAGCUCUGUUGUUAGGGAAGAACAAGUGCAAGAGUAACUGCUUGCACCUUGACGGUACCUAACCAGAAAGCCACGGCUAACUACGUGCCAGCAGCCGCGGUAAUACGUAGGUGGCAAGCGUUGUCCGGAAUUAUUGGGCGUAAAGGGCUCGCAGGCGGUUUCUUAAGUCUGAUGUGAAAGCCCCCGGCUCAACCGGGGAGGGUCAUUGGAAACUGGGAAACUUGAGUGCAGAAGAGGAGAGUGGAAUUCCACGUGUAGCGGUGAAAUGCGUAGAGAUGUGGAGGAACACCAGUGGCGAAGGCGACUCUCUGGUCUGUAACUGACGCUGAGGAGCGAAAGCGUGGGGAGCGAACAGGAUUAGAUACCCUGGUAGUCCACGCCGUAAACGAUGAGUGCUAAGUGUUAGGGGGUUUCCGCCCCUUAGUGCUGCAGCUAACGCAUUAAGCACUCCGCCUGGGGAGUACGGUCGCAAGACUGAAACUCAAAGGAAUUGACGGGGGCCCGCACAAGCGGUGGAGCAUGUGGUUUAAUUCGAAGCAACGCGAAGAACCUUACCAGGUCUUGACAUCCUCUGACAACCCUAGAGAUAGGGCUUUCCCUUCGGGGACAGAGUGACAGGUGGUGCAUGGUUGUCGUCAGCUCGUGUCGUGAGAUGUUGGGUUAAGUCCCGCAACGAGCGCAACCCUUGAUCUUAGUUGCCAGCAUUCAGUUGGG
RNAcentral lists this ribosomal RNA (1102 nucleotides) under Bacillus licheniformis. Its description in RNAcentral is "bacterial SSU rRNA". It matches the Rfam family "Bacterial small subunit ribosomal RNA", at positions 49 to 1135 of the family's 1533-position model. The record is from RNAcentral. Lineage: Bacteria; Bacillati; Bacillota; Bacilli; Caryophanales; Bacillaceae.